AUAAGUAGACAUUGUCCGGCUU
RNAcentral lists this microRNA (22 nucleotides) under Bombyx mori (domestic silkworm). Its description in RNAcentral is "bmo-miR-2797d". Lineage: Eukaryota; Metazoa; Arthropoda; Insecta; Lepidoptera; Bombycidae. The record is from miRBase by way of RNAcentral.